CUGCGCGAGCCGGGCGCCUGAGAACGUUCCCCGCGGGGGCGGCUCCGGGGCCUGAGCGGGUGCCGCCGCCACCUCAGCCGCCGGGGCCGGGCCGGAGGACGCGGAGGAGGCUGCGGCCGCCCGAGACCUUCUCGACGUCCCCAGCUCCGGCCGGGAAGUGAGAGAGGCCUAAAGCAUUACAUAAACCGUAGCUCUAGGCAGAGACUGGCAGCAGUAUUUUGUAGCUUCCGUUCAGCUCCAGCUUCAUCCUUGGCUUUAAGCGAGAGAGAGACAGCAAGAGAGGGAACACAAGCAGAGGG
Non-coding RNA from Leptonychotes weddellii (Weddell seal), 299 nucleotides. Lineage: Eukaryota; Metazoa; Chordata; Mammalia; Carnivora; Phocidae. The record is from RefSeq and is a predicted model, not a curated record.